GAUAUUAGCUACUGGUUUGCUGUAUAUUGCUUUUACUAUGUUUAGAUAUGGGCCUUGAAUUCCUGAUCUUUCCAGGACAUUUAUCAUAAAGGAGUGUUGAAUUUUGUCAAAUUCUUCCUCUGCAUCUAGUGAAAUAACCAUGUGGUUCUUAUUUUUGAGUUUGUUUCUAUAGUGGAUUACAUUGAUGGAUUUUUGUAUAUUAAACCUUCUCCGCAUCCCUGAGAUGAAGCCUACUUGGUCACAUUGGAUGAUCAUUUUGUUGUGUUCUUGGAUUCGGUUUGCAAGAAUUUUAUUGAGUAUUUUUGCGUCAAUAUUCAUAAGGGAAAUUGGUCUGAAGUUCUCUUUCUUUGUUGGGUCUUUGUGUGGUUUAGGUAUAAGAGUAAUUGCAGCUUCAUAGAAAGAAUUCGAUAGUGCUCUGUCUGUUUCAAAUUGGUGGAAUAGUUUGGACAAUAUUGGUAUGAGGUCUUCUAUAAAGGUCUGAUAGAAUUCUGCACUGAACCCAUCUGGACCUGCGCUCUUUUCGGUUGGUGUUGUUGUAAAAAUGU
This 545-nucleotide long non-coding RNA is filed under the name Rattus norvegicus (Norway rat). Its description in RNAcentral is "long non-coding RNA NONRATT016257". Lineage: Eukaryota; Metazoa; Chordata; Mammalia; Rodentia; Muridae. The record is from RNAcentral.